AUACGUAGGUGGCAAGCGUUAUCCGGAUUUACUGGGUGUAAAGGGCGCGCAGGCGGUCUUGCAAGUCAGAUGUGAAAGAUCAAGGCUUAACUUUGACAGGUCAUCUGAAACUGCGGGACUUGAGUAUCAGAGGGGAAAGUGGAAUUCCUGGUGGAGCGGUAAAAUGCGCAGAGAUCAGGAGGAACACCGGUGGCGAAGGCGACUUUCUGGCUGACAACUGACGCUGAGGCGCGAAAGCGUGGGGAGCAAACAGGAUUAGAUACCCUGGUAGUCCACGCCGUAAACGAUGAUUACUGGGUGUAGGGGGUAUCGACUCCCUCUGUGCCGAAGCAAACGCGAUAAGUAAUCCACCUGGGGAGUACGGCCGCAAGGCUAAA
Molecule: ribosomal RNA, 377 nt
Filed under: uncultured bacterium
Lineage: Bacteria
Description: bacterial SSU rRNA
Rfam family: Bacterial small subunit ribosomal RNA
Source: RNAcentral